AAAGCUUUCUCCUGUGACCAGAAACAACACUGGCUGCUCUGUGACCCUUGAGUCUUCUCACUUUGAUGGCGCUGUUGUAAAGAGUGGUGAAGUGGUGAUUUUUUUCCUGAGCUUCGGAUCAAGCCCGUAUUCCUGAGAGGGCUCCAUGCUUCCCCUGCCAAGGAGGCUGGCACGCACUUACGUGAGCUGAUGGCCUCAGAGAAUGAAAAUUCAGGUAGAAUGAAAUACCAGCUUACCCAGCGGGGAGACAUGUGCUUCCCUGGCCUUGUGAAUGAUGCGUAUUUUUGUGGAUCCUGUCCUCUUCUUGUGUGUUUUACUGACACAACAAACUUGCUGGAAUUAAAAUUCAUUAAUAAAACAAA
Aquila chrysaetos chrysaetos is the source of this 362-nucleotide long non-coding RNA. RefSeq lists it as uncharacterized. The transcript is spliced from 2 exons. The record is from RefSeq and is a predicted model, not a curated record. NCBI's taxonomy places the organism in Eukaryota, Metazoa, Chordata, Aves, Accipitriformes, Accipitridae.